UGCCUCUUUCCCUUCGGUCGACGUGGACACUGUGCCGGACACCUCUGGCAGGACUAACCCCGUGGCUUUUAUGUCCAGCGUGCUGUGCUGUGUGUGCCUGCAGGUAAGAAAAGCUGGGAGUGCAGUCCCUCUGCUUUGAUUGCUGUGUCUCUUGGGUAGCGAUUUUGGAGGGGAAUCCCAGAGCGAUUUGGUUUGAAGGGGACCUUCAAAGGCCAGCCUGUCUUCCGUGGGCAGGGACACCUUCCACUGUCCCCGGUUGCUCCGAGUCCCAUCCAGCCUGGCCUGGAACACUUGCAGGGAUGGGGCAGGCUCAGUUUCCCUGUGCAGUGUGCUCUAAUAUCUCUCCACUGGCAUCCUGAAAAAUGUUGUCAGUGUGUUUUGUUGGACGACGCUAGGCAGGACCUGGGUGAAAAGGACAUUCUCUGAGGUGCUGGGAGAAGGAGGACUCGUGCGGGCACCUCCAGAGACAGCGGGAACGGGAGCGUGCUGCGGAGAAGGAAAAUUCCAGGGGAAUUGCCACGAGAGGAAAUACCUCAGAGGGGCUUCCCUCCAGAUAAGCCCUGAAUAUGCCAGGAGGUUUCAGCCGGGAGAAAGGAGCUGUGGAAGAAAAGCAGCCUAAAAGUAGCCAGCGGGGAUCAUCAGGUUUUCCAGGCAAGAAGAACAAGGAGAGAGAUGAGGGAAUGGGGUUCCAAUUCCUAAUGAUUUGGUGGGUGCAGGAAUGAUUUGUGUGUGUUUUCCAGUCCCUUUUGAUUCCUGAGAUGAUUUUAAAAUGAUGGCUUUAGCAAUCAACUAAAUCGGAGAUGUUGUUUUUGAGAGGAAAUGGUGCCAAAUAAAUGCAGAGUUUUGGGUCA
This is a long non-coding RNA of Pseudopipra pipra, 851 nucleotides long. RefSeq lists it as uncharacterized. The transcript is spliced from 2 exons. The record is from RefSeq and is a predicted model, not a curated record. Lineage: Eukaryota; Metazoa; Chordata; Aves; Passeriformes; Pipridae.